Anolis carolinensis (green anole) is the source of this 1927-nucleotide long non-coding RNA. RefSeq lists it as uncharacterized. The record is from RefSeq and is a predicted model, not a curated record. NCBI's taxonomy places the organism in Eukaryota, Metazoa, Chordata, Lepidosauria, Squamata, Anolidae. The transcript has 3 exons.
AGAGGGCCAAACUUCAAGGAGGAGCUAUUGCAUCAUAACUAAGAGUGCAGAAAGCCAAGAGGGCCAAACUACAAAUCAAACACAGUAUGGCAGAUGCAUAUGGUGUGGGGCAUAACUGGAGCAUUCAGGUGUCAGUUUUCCAGACAAUUUCUUCCAUCUCUGCUGCUGAUGAAAACUGCAUCUGAGCAUCUAGGGCCCCUUCCACACAGCUGUAUAAAAUCCACAUGGAACUGGAAUAUCUGGCAGUGCGGACUCAGAUAAUCCAGUUCAAAGAAGUAAAUCACAGAGUGGCUGAGAAUUUGGGUCUUAAGAAAAAGUACGUUGGUCCAGUCCUGAACCCAUUCAAUACCCGGAGGUCCAUCAAUAACAGGUCUUCUCCACUUCACUAAAGCCUGAAAAAACUCCAGCACAUGAAGAAGUAAAAUGGAAAUGCUUUUCUGACCUACAAUAAUCCAUUUAAUCAUUUGAGGUUUCAGGGUUUUUUUUCUGAAUUAUCUCACACGCAUGCAUGGGCAAACCUCAGCCCUCCAGAUGUUUUGGACUUCAACUCCCAAAAUUUGUUUUUGAGAACAUACUAUCCACUAAUAUGCCAGUAAGGGAGGAAUGUCCAUUAAAGAAUACACUGUCGUGACUUUAAAAUGGCAUUAAAGGCUAAUCCUUUCUGGCAAGCCUAUCCAGAUGAUUCCUAAAUUAUUGUGUACUGGUGAUUUUAAUAUGCAUAACCUGUCUAUGUUAUUUUAAACUGAUGUCUUAACUAAGUUAUUUGGGAUGUAUUUUAAACUUAUUGUAUAUGUUGUACUGUAAUGUUGUUGUUCCCCACCUCAAUCCAUGGGGAGUGGCAGGUCGGAUAUUAUUACUGCAUCAUUUUUGUGCCAUUAGAUUUUUAUACACAAAACAGGGUUGGACUGUAAUUGCUGUGUGAUGCUAUUUUCAAUGUUUGUAUAUAGUCUUUUAAUUAAUUUCAAUAUUUUUAAUGUUUUAACUUUAAAAGUUGCUUAAUAAUAUUUACAUCUUAUAUUUAUAUUUUUAAUAAUGCUUUUAUAUAGUUAUUUGUACUGUUUUAAAUAUCUUGUUAGCCAUCUUCAUGGGAGAAAGGGAGGAUAUAAAUGAAUAAAACCAACCAAUCAAAGCCAGGCAGUCAACAAUUUGCUAGUGUGCUCUGAUUUGAUUACCUUGAGAAAGGACUAGAGAGAUGUGUGGUUAUUUAUUAUUAUAUUUAUAUUAUUAUAGGAGCCCCUGGUGGUGCAAUGGGUUAAACCCUUGUGCCAGCAGGACUGCUGACUUGAAGCUUGGGUUUCUGACCUGAAGAUUGCCAGUUUGAAUUCAGGGAGAGCACAGAUGACCUCCCUCUGUCAGCUCCAUCUCCCUAUGCGGGAAAAUAAGAGAUGCCUCCCACAAGGAUGGUAAAACAUCAAAAACAUCCGGCCGUCCCCUGGGCAACGUCCUUGGAGACAGCCAAUUCUCUCAUACUACAAGCGACUUGCAAUUUCUCAAGUCACUCCUGACACGAAAAAAAUUAUAUUUAUAGAAUGAAAAAGGAAGAUAGUUGCAUGUGAGACUUUCUGUCUCUAGUGUCAAAAUACUUCUAGUGCAUGUAUUAUGCACCUUGAUUUUGGUAACUGUCAUUCUGACUCAGGUGCCUAAAUGUCUUGGCAUUACAACAGUGGGUCAUAUGGUACAAUUGUUCUGAACUGUGACACAUCAGACUGCAAGAUGACAAUAGAAGUGAUCCGUUUGAAUUUUGAGAAAGCCAUCAAGGAAAAGAAGUACAGAGCAUGACUUGAAUUCAUUUUUCUUCUUAUUUAUUAUUGCUACCUUUUUUGUCUGGUAAUCUGAGCCAUUAAAAAGAAAUAACAAAGAUUUUGGUAAAAGCCCAAAGCAGCCUGCUGUCACCUUUUCCCCCAAAAUGGAAGCACCUACCUUUGUC